Non-coding RNA from Trichuris suis (pig whipworm), 199 nucleotides. Lineage: Eukaryota; Metazoa; Nematoda; Enoplea; Trichinellida; Trichuridae. The record is from Rfam.
AAGACCUUACUUCACAGGAUCAUUUCUGUAGUAAGUGUCACAAGAUCGCCUUACAAAAUAUCAACGGAGUUGAACCACGAUGAUGAGUUUCCCUUCUUCUCAGAGCAGGAAAACAACUGGGAAAAGUGCGCACACUUUUUCCAGUUAUUGUUGACUGUUUCAGCUGCUUUAGCUGAGGGAGGAAGGGUUACUGAGUGGU